Molecule: transfer RNA, 69 nt
Filed under: Ictidomys tridecemlineatus (thirteen-lined ground squirrel)
Lineage: Eukaryota; Metazoa; Chordata; Mammalia; Rodentia; Sciuridae
Description: Spermophilus tridecemlineatus (thirteen-lined ground squirrel) tRNA
Rfam family: tRNA
About the family: Transfer RNA (tRNA) molecules are approximately 80 nucleotides in length.
Source: Rfam by way of RNAcentral
GGGGCUGUCGCUCAGUGGUAGAGUACUCGUCUUGCAUGUGUGAGGCACUGGGUUCAAUCCUCAGCUCCA